CAUAGUUUGGGUGGUCCUAAAGCUUACUGUUAUUUAUAAUCGAAAUUACACAUGCAAGCCUCAACAAACCAGUGAGAAUGCCCACACCCCCUUACACCAGACCCACGGAGCAGGUAUCAGGCCCAGUAUAAUACUCGCCCACAACACCUUGCAUCGCCACACCCACACGGGAACUCAGCAGUGAUUAAUAUUAAGCAAUAAGCGAAAGCUUGACUUAGCUACGAUUACACAAGACCGGUAAAUUUCGUGCCAGCCACCGCGGUUAUACGAAAGGCCCAAAAUAACAGCAUCGGCGUAAAAUGUGACUAGAACAGCACUUAAGUUAAGGCAAAACCACUGCUACGUAGUAAAAUACUCAAAGCAAGCAAGAACAACACCUGUAAACUCGUCCUUAAAAUAUUUGAUCGCACGAAAGCCGGGGAACAAACUGGGAUUACAAACUGGGAUUAGAUACCCCACUAUGCUCGGCCCUAAACUUAGAUAGAAAAUUACACACUAUCCGCCAGAGAACUACAAGCGAAAAGCUUAAAACUCCAAGGACUUGGCGGUGCCCCAUAUCAGCCUAGAGGAGCCUGUCCUAUAAUCGAUACCCCACGUUCUACCUCACCAUUUUUUGCCAAACAGUUUAUAUACCGCCGUCGUUCAGCCAACCCCAUGAGGGAAAUAAAAGUUAGCGGAAUGGUCCGACACCAACACGUCAGGUCAAGGUGUAACACAUAAAAUGGCAGAGAUGGGCUACACUCUCUUUAAAAGAAGAUACGAAUAGCGUAAUGAAACCAACACUUAAAGGCGGAUUUAGCAGUAAAAUUGGCCAGAAAACCAACCUUAAACAAGCCCUGGGGCGCACUGGAAAGUGUGCUUGGAAUA
RNAcentral lists this non-coding RNA (867 nucleotides) under Dibamus bogadeki. RNAcentral's name for it is "12S rRNA". It matches the Rfam family "Bacterial small subunit ribosomal RNA", at positions 8 to 1368 of the family's 1533-position model. Lineage: Eukaryota; Metazoa; Chordata; Lepidosauria; Squamata; Dibamidae. The record is from RNAcentral.